This is a long non-coding RNA of Anthonomus grandis grandis, 1175 nucleotides long. RefSeq lists it as uncharacterized. The record is from RefSeq and is a predicted model, not a curated record. Lineage: Eukaryota; Metazoa; Arthropoda; Insecta; Coleoptera; Curculionidae. The transcript is spliced from 2 exons.
UUUACUGUCGGAUAAUCAGAUUUAAGUUUCCUUUAAUUUUUUUUAUGAAAUGGGCUAUUUAAGUGAAAAGCACAAAAUUGAAAUCUUAAUGAUGAUUGGGUACGGAGAACAAGAACCCAAAAUAAAGUUUUGCAUUUAUUCACACAGAAGUAUCCUGAUUUACCACCCAUAUCUCAAAGUACUAUAACAAGAUUGAAAAACAGUUUUGGGAAAAUGGUCACAUAAGAACAAUAACUAGUUCUCGACGAUCUGCGCUUAAUGAAGACACCAAAAUGAAUGUGUUAUUAGGCAUUGAAGAAAAUCCCCACUAGGCAGGUAGCGCGCGAAUUGGAAGUGAGCCAGUCUUCAGUAGUAAAGGUUCUUGAAGCAGAAAAAUGUCAUCCCUAUAAACUAACAAUUGUCCAGGAACUCAAUGAGGAGGAUGCAGAUAGAAAAAUUGAAUUUUGUGAACAAUUUAUGGAAUUAAUGCAGAAUAAUAAUCUUAUUACAGAAAACAUUCUUUUCUGAUGAGUCGACAUUUAUGAUGAACCGAGAAGUAAAUCGUCAAAAUUGCCGUUAUUGGGCACAAGAAAAUCCAUGGUUGGAUGAGGCAAGGCCACACUGAACACCCAAAAAAAGUAAGUGUUUGGGCAGGAAUUCUAGGUCAGCAAGUUAUAGGCCCAAAUUUCUUCGAAGAAAAUUUAAAUGGAACAAGGUACUUGUACAGUUUUUACAAGAAAAACUAAUUCCAAAUCUAGCUGUUCUAUUCCCUGAUCCAAUAGAAGCUGAUAUUUCGAAUAGAAACAUCUGGUUUCAGCAAGAUGGCAGUUGGAUUGGCAGGAGAGGACCUUUUGAAUGGCCACCAAGAUUGCCCGAUUUGACUCCGCUGGAUUUUUUCCUAUGGGGAUAUUUAAAAUCCAAAGUUUAUGUGACCAAGCCGGCAAAAAUUAAGGAGUUGAAAACUAGAAUAAGGCAAGAGUGUCGAAACAUUUCUCCAGAAUGUAUAAGAAACGUUCAAAAUGAAUUUGUAGUACGUUUAGGACAUUGCCAAAUAGUAAAUGGUAUACAUUUUGAACACUCAUGUUAUAAAGAAAAAGAUUUAAAAGAAUCCUCUUUAAGUUUAUGAAAUACGUUUUCUUUAACGCCCUGUAUCUUAAAAACAAUCAAAUAAAGGUAUGGCAUGUGAUACAUCAAAA